This 301-nucleotide ribosomal RNA is filed under the name uncultured bacterium. Its description in RNAcentral is "partial 16S ribosomal RNA". It matches the Rfam family "Bacterial small subunit ribosomal RNA", at positions 509 to 807 of the family's 1533-position model. The record is from RNAcentral.
CAGUCGCCGCGGUAAUACGGAGGGUGCAAGCGUUAAUCGGAAUUACUGGGCGUAAAGCGCACGCAGGCGGUCUGUCAAGUCGGAUGUGAAAUCCCCGGGCUCAACCCGGGAACUGCAUUCGAAACUGGCAGGCUAGAGUCUUGUAGAGGGGGGUAGAAUUCCAGGUGUAGCGGUGAAAUGCGUAGAGAUCUGGAGGAAUACCGGUGGCGAAGGCGGCCCCCUGGACAAAGACUGACGCUCAGGUGCGAAAGCGUGGGGAGCAAACAGGAUUAGAUACCCGAGUAGUCCCUGUCUCUUAUAC